Molecule: ribosomal RNA, 511 nt
Filed under: uncultured bacterium
Lineage: Bacteria
Description: partial 16S ribosomal RNA
Rfam family: Bacterial small subunit ribosomal RNA
Source: RNAcentral
GACAAACGCUGGCGGCAUGCCUAACACAUGCAAGCCGAACGGACAGACCAGGGAAGCUUUUCGGAGUGGAACUGGAAAGUUAGUGGCGGAGGGGUGAGUAACGCGUGGACAACCUACCUUGUAAAGGGGAAUAACCUCGAGAAAUCGAAGCUAAUAACCCAUAAUAACCUUGCUUCGCAUGAAGUAAGGAGGAAAGGCGGCCUUAGCGCAGUCGAUACAAGAUGGGUCCGCGUCUGAUUAGCUAGAUGGUGAGGGAAAGGCUCACCAAGGCGACGGCUAGUAGCCCUCUUAAGGGGAUGAGCGGUCACAUUGAGUCUGACACACGGCCCAGUCUCCUGCAGGAGUCAUCAGUAGGGAUUGUUGCGCACUCUGCGAAAUCCUGUCGGAGCAAUGCCGCGCGGGUGAAGAUGACCUUCGGGUUGUAAGACUCUGUCCUUAUCGAAGUUAUCGUUUUGUAGUAAUUGACAUUACUAGGACGGUAGUUAGAGAGGAAUCCCCGGCUAACUAUGUG